This 92-nucleotide transfer RNA is filed under the name Candidatus Alcyoniella australis. Its description in RNAcentral is "tRNA-Ser". It matches the Rfam family "tRNA". Rfam says of the family: Transfer RNA (tRNA) molecules are approximately 80 nucleotides in length. The record is from RNAcentral. Lineage: Bacteria; Candidatus Lernaellota; Candidatus Lernaellaia; Candidatus Lernaellales; Candidatus Alcyoniellaceae.
GGAGAGAUGACCGAGAGGCCGAAGGUGCUCGCCUGCUAAGCGAGUGUACGCCUAACCGUGUACCGAGGGUUCGAAUCCCUCUCUCUCCGCCA